This 200-nucleotide unclassified non-coding RNA is filed under the name Herpotrichiellaceae sp. RNAcentral describes it as "partial internal transcribed spacer 2". Lineage: Eukaryota; Fungi; Ascomycota; Eurotiomycetes; Chaetothyriales; Herpotrichiellaceae. The record is from RNAcentral.
UUAAGUUCAGCGGGUAUUCCUACCUGAUCCGAGGUCAACCUUGAGAAAUUUGAUGGUAAAGACCGGGCCGACCGACCACUUCAAUGCGUGCUAUAAAAGCUCGUUGCAUCUAGGGUCAAACACGACACCGUCACUAUCUUUCGGACCUGUCGGGUGUCUCACCGACAAAGGGUCCAACGACAAGCCAGGCUUGAUGGUUG